This 485-nucleotide ribosomal RNA is filed under the name uncultured microorganism. RNAcentral describes it as "bacterial SSU rRNA". It matches the Rfam family "Bacterial small subunit ribosomal RNA", at positions 9 to 480 of the family's 1533-position model. The record is from RNAcentral.
GAGUUUGAUCGUGGCUCAGGAUGAACGCCGGCGGUGUGCCUAAUACAUGCAAGUCGUACGCACUGGCCCAACUGAUUGAUGGUGCUUGCACCUGAUCGACGAUGGAUCACCAGUGAGUGGCGGACGGUGAGUAACACGUAGGUAACCUGCCCUGUACAGGGGGAUAACAAUCAGAAAUGACUGCUAAUACCGCAUAAGACCACAGCACCGCAUGGUGCAGGGGUAAAAACUCCGGUGGUACAGGAUGGACCCGCGUCUGAUUAGCUGGUUGGUGAGGUAACGGCUCACCAAGGCGACGAUCAGUAGCCGGCUUGAGAGAGUGAACGGCCACAUUGGGACUGAGACACGGGCCCAAAACUCCUACGGGAGGCAGCAGUGGGGAAUAUUGCACAAUGGGGGAAACCCUGAUGCAGCAACGCCGCGUGAGUGAAGAAGUAUUUCGGUAUGUAAAAGCUCUAUCAGCAGGGAAGAAAGUGACGGUACCU